This 468-nucleotide ribosomal RNA is filed under the name uncultured bacterium. RNAcentral's name for it is "partial 16S ribosomal RNA". It matches the Rfam family "Bacterial small subunit ribosomal RNA", at positions 28 to 507 of the family's 1533-position model. The record is from RNAcentral.
GACGAACGCUGGCGGCGUGCUUAACACAUGCAAGUCGAACGGAAAGGCCCUGCUUUUGUGGGGUGCUCGAGUGGCGAACGGGUGAGUAACACGUGAGUAACCUGCCCUUGACUUUGGGAUAACUUCAGGAAACUGGGGCUAAUACCGGAUAGGAGCUCCUGCUGCAUGGUGGGGGUUGGAAAGUUUCGGCGGUUGGGGAUGGACUCGCGGCUUAUCAGCUUGUUGGUGGGGUAGUGGCUUACCAAGGCUUUGACGGGUAGCCGGCCUGGGAGGGUGACCGGCCACAUUAGGACUGAGAUACGGCCCAGACUCCUACGGGAGGCAGCAGUGGGGAAUAUUGCACAAUGGGCGGAAGCCUGAUGCAGCAACGCCGCGUGCGGGAUGACGGCCUUCGGGUUGUAAACCGCUUUCGCCUGUGACGAAGCGUGAGUGACGGUAAUGGGUAAAGAAGCACCGGCUAACUACGUG